AUUGCUUCUUGGCCUUUUGGCUAAGAUCAAAUGUAGUAUCAAUUUGAGCCAAGUGCAAGUAUUACUUAGUCAAAAUCAAAGUUAGUUUUAAAAUACUAAAA
Molecule: small nuclear RNA, 101 nt
Filed under: Myotis lucifugus (little brown bat)
Lineage: Eukaryota; Metazoa; Chordata; Mammalia; Chiroptera; Vespertilionidae
Description: U2 spliceosomal RNA
Rfam family: U2 spliceosomal RNA
About the family: U2 is a small nuclear RNA (snRNA) component of the spliceosome (involved in pre-mRNA splicing). Complementary binding between U2 snRNA (in an area lying towards the 5' end but 3' to hairpin I) and the branchpoint sequence (BPS) of the intron results the bulging out of an unpaired adenosine, on the BPS, which initiates a nucleophilic attack at the intronic 5' splice site, thus starting the first of two transesterification reactions that mediate splicing.
Source: Rfam by way of RNAcentral